Molecule: long non-coding RNA, 1580 nt
Organism: Sinocyclocheilus grahami
Lineage: Eukaryota; Metazoa; Chordata; Actinopteri; Cypriniformes; Cyprinidae
Source: Ensembl
ACUUGCUCUCGCAUACAGCCUUACAGAGACAGGAGGGGAGAUUCAGAGACGCGGAGAAGAAGAAGAGGAGUGAGAGAGAGAGAGAGAAGGAGAGAAUGUCUGCUGAGAGGGUGGCUCUCGUUCCUCGUUCACAAACCGGCCCUCGCUGAGACACCAUGGGCUGUAUCGGCUCCCGCACCAUCACGGUGGAUGCAGUUCCCGUUCGGAAAGAUGGGGAGCAGGUAAGUAAAACUACAACGCUUUGCAUAUUUAAGAUUUGCUUUGCACCAAACCUCUGUCCCAUGUUGUGAGCUUAAGCCCUAAGGAUCACAUCUACAUGACGUCCCUUUGCCAAGAUGAUACUUGCGCGACGUCUGCAUUUCUGUCCGAAGCUAUUAUACCUACCAAGUGCUGACAUUUGUGCCUCAUGGUACUUUAAUGAAGUCUUUAGCUAACACGAAGACCCCCUGCGUGCCAUACGCACUUCUUGCAGCCCCGUAGCGCUGAAAGUCAGAGAAAGCGUGAUGGUAUAAUGUGUAUUUGAAAAGCCUCUAUAUUAGAUUCUCAGCAAGGCCACGAGAGCCGGACCCCAGAGGCCAGCCAUUACCUUACAGUAUUGCCGUAACGGCUUUGUCUCCUGGGAAGACAUAGCCUCAUCCGUCUUCCCUGUUUGCUGCCUGUGUUCACGUCCUACCCAAGGGCAACAGCUCUUGGCUUGUCGCUCUGCUCAUCCACAGAUGAAUUUGGCUCAAAAUCUACCAUUUGGGUUCUGGUAGCAGUCCAAACCAAACGGCAUGUUUAAUAUCUCAAUACAGAGUUAAGAAGCCGCGCCAGGAGGUGGUGUCAUCCCACUGUUGCUGGAGCCAAUUGUGUUGUGCGUGUAUGCGUUUGUGUUAGCGAGCCGCAUUCGAAAAGCCACUUGCUGGUUGCUAAAUUAAGAAUAAUAAAAAUAAAAGUAAGAAUUUAUGUAAUAAAAGAUUGCCUAGCAAUGGAAAUCUCUCAAGAAUCAGGUGGUAGUUGCUAAGUAGCAAGGCUAUUUUAGUUAUCUUAGUGCUAACUCAAAUGCCCUGGAACUUCACAAAAAUAAACUAUUAUAGGUUGAACUGAAAGGCCCUAGAUGGGACUAUUUUGUUUCACAGACUUGUAUGUGUGUGUUUUUAAAUAAAAUAUGUGUUUUUAUCCUCACACAACCUCGAAAAAAGUAUAAGCAUCAAAUUACCUAGCUAACUUCUGACUCUGAGAAAUCUCCUCUAAUAGGAAUACAUGGGAUUGUGGUUUAUUAUUUACAGUGCUCCUUAUUGAUUUUGACCUUCAUUUGAUAACUAAGCUGUAACUAAAUUUUACUUUAGACCUUUUUGUCUAAAAGUUACAAGUUAAAUGUUACAAGUAUUACAUUAUUCGACCAUGGACUGACUGAAGUGCUCAUUAUAGUAGCAGCGCCUCAGUUAUUUGCUUAGAAUUUUAAUUAUGUUACAUACAUAGUUGUUUAUUUAUGCUAGCAUUGUGAAAUACCAGUUCAAGUAUUACUAGAAUGAUUUAAUAACGGAUAAAAGUGCUCAUUACAGUAUCAGUGUCUAUUAUUAUUUACAUAACUUUUCAAC